This 374-nucleotide ribosomal RNA is filed under the name uncultured bacterium. RNAcentral's name for it is "bacterial SSU rRNA". It matches the Rfam family "Bacterial small subunit ribosomal RNA", at positions 29 to 404 of the family's 1533-position model. The record is from RNAcentral.
AUUGAACGCUGGCGGCAUGCCUUACACAUGCAAGUCGAACGGCAGCACGGGGGCAACCCUGGUGGCGAGUGGCGAACGGGUGAGUAAUACAUCGGAACGUGCCCAGUAGUGGGGGAUAGCCCGGCGAAAGCCGGAUUAAUACCGCAUACGACCUACGGGUGAAAGCGGGGGAUCGCAAGACCUCGUGCUACCGGAGCGGCCGAUGUCAGAUUAGGUUGUUGGUGGGGUAAAAGCCUACCAAGCCGACGAUCUGUAGCUGGUCUGAGAGGACGACCAGCCACACUGGGACUGAGACACGGCCCAGACUCCUACGGGAGGCAGCAGUGGGGAAUUUUGGACAAUGGGCGCAAGCCUGAUCCAGCCAUGCCGCGUGC